RNAcentral lists this ribosomal RNA (741 nucleotides) under uncultured bacterium. RNAcentral's name for it is "bacterial SSU rRNA". It matches the Rfam family "Bacterial small subunit ribosomal RNA", at positions 103 to 825 of the family's 1533-position model. The record is from RNAcentral.
CGGGUGAGUAACACGUGGGUAACGUACCCUCGGGUGGGGAAUAACGAUUCGAAAGGAUCGCUAAUACCGCAUCAGACCACGUCCUCUGCGGAGGAUGAGGCCAAAGGUGGCUGUCGCAAGGCAGUUGCCGCCUGAGGAUCGGCUCGCGAACCAUUAGCUAGAUGGCGGGGUAAUGGCCCACCAUGGCUCCGAUGGUUAGCUGGUCUGAGAGGACGACCAGCCACACUGGAACUGACACACGGUCCAGACUCCUACGGGAGGCAGCAGUGGGGAAUAUUGCGCAAUGGGCGAAAGCCUGACGCAGCAACGCCGCGUGAGUGAAGAAGGCCUUCGGGUUGUAAAGCUCUGUCGGAGGGAAAGAAUACUACGGAUGACCUCCGUAGUUGACGGUACCCUCAAAGGAAGCACUGGCUAACUCCGUGCCAGCAGCCGCGGUAAUACGGAGAGUGCAAGCGUUGUUCGGAAUUAUUGGGCGUAAAGCGCGUGUAGGCGGUUCAACAAGUCUGGCGUGAAAGCCUUGAGCUCAACUCAAGAAGUGCGCUGGAAACUGUCGAACUUGAGUACUGGAGGGGGAGGUGGAAUUCUCGAGUGUAGAGGUGAAAUUCGUAGAUAUUCGGAAGAACAUCAGUGGCGAAGGCGACCUCCUGGACAGAUACUGACGCUGAGACGCGAAAGCGUGGGUAGCAAACAGGAUUAGAUACCCUGGUAGUCCACGCUGUAAACGAUGGAUGCUAGUUGUCG